RNAcentral lists this ribosomal RNA (274 nucleotides) under uncultured bacterium. Its description in RNAcentral is "partial 16S ribosomal RNA". It matches the Rfam family "Bacterial small subunit ribosomal RNA", at positions 523 to 796 of the family's 1533-position model. The record is from RNAcentral.
AUACGGAGGGUCCAAGCGUUAUCCGGAAUCAUUGGGUUUAAAGGGUCCGCAGGCGGUCAAUUAAGUCAGAGGUGAAAGCCCAUCGCUCAACGAUGGAACUGCCUUUGAUACUGGUUGACUUGAGUUAUACGGAAGUAGAUAGAAUAAGUAGUGUAGCGGUGAAAUGCAUAGAUAUUACUUAGAAUACCGAUUGCGAAGGCAGUCUACUACGUAUAUACUGACGCUGAGGGACGAAAGCGUGGGGAGCGAACAGGAGUAGAAACCCCAGUAGUCC